UGAUUGAUUGAUUGAUUGAUUGAUUAGUUGGUUGGUUAGUUGGUUGGUUGGUUAAACACGUUGGAUAGGGUCAAUUGAAACAGCGAAAAAGAAACAAAGAAGAUCUUCGACCGUUUAUUAAACACAUGUGACGGAUACAUGAUUGAUUGAUCAUGAUCAUGAUCAUGAUUGAUUGAUUGAUUCAUUGAUUGAUUGAUAAUUGGUUGGUUGGUUGGUUAAACACUUUGGAUAGAGUCAAUUGAAACAGCGAAAGAGAAACAAAGAUCUUGGACCGUUUAUUAAACACAUGAGACGGAAACAUGAUUGAUUGAUCAUGAUCAUGAUCGAUUGAUUGAUUGAUUGAUUGAUUGAUUAUUUGGUUGGUUGGUUGGUUGGUUGGUUAAACACGUUGGAUAGGGUCAAUUGAAACAGCGAAAAAGAAACGAAGAAGAUCUUGAACCCUAUAAUUAACACAUGAGACGGAAACAUGAUUGAUUGAUUGAUCAUGAUCAUUAUUGGUUGAUUGAUCAUGAUUAUGAUUGAUUGAUUGAUUGAUUGAUUGGUUGGUUGGUUGG
This 554-nucleotide long non-coding RNA is filed under the name Mytilus galloprovincialis (Mediterranean mussel). The record is from RNAcentral. Lineage: Eukaryota; Metazoa; Mollusca; Bivalvia; Mytilida; Mytilidae.